UAGGGAAUCUUCCGCAAUGGACGCAAGUCUGACGGAGCAACGCCGCGUGAGUGAAGAAGGAUUUCGGUUCGUAAAACUCUGUUGUUAGAGAAGAACAGCGCAUAGAGUAACUGUUAUGCGUGUGACGGUAUCUAACCAGAAAGCCACGGCUAACUACGUGCCAGCAGCCGCGGUAAUACGUAGGUGGCAAGCGUUGUCCGGAUUUAUUGGGCGUAAAGCGAGCGCAGGCGGUCAAUUAAGUCUGAUGUGAAAGCCCCCGGCUCAACCGGGGAGGGUCAUUGGAAACUGGUUGACUUGAGUGCAGAAGAGGAGAGUGGAAUUCCAUGUGUAGCGGUGAAAUGCGUAGAUAUAUGGAGGAACACCACUGGCGAAGGCGACUCUCUGGUCUGUAACUGACGCUGAGGCUCGAAAGCGUGGGGAGCGAACAGG
This 429-nucleotide ribosomal RNA is filed under the name Bacteroidota bacterium. Its description in RNAcentral is "Bacteroidetes bacterium partial 16S ribosomal RNA". It matches the Rfam family "Bacterial small subunit ribosomal RNA", at positions 355 to 776 of the family's 1533-position model. Lineage: Bacteria; Pseudomonadati; Bacteroidota. The record is from RNAcentral.